UUGUGGUUUAUGCCGGCUUCCAUACCUCUUGGAUCCAGGCCAUUCCACCUGUGAAAUCUUGACUUUCCAUAUUUCCUCAGCUGGGAGAGAUAAUGAAUCAACCAUACUAUGUAGGCUACAGGUUCCAUACCAGCACAGGAGAAUCCAAGCUGAGAAGUCGUGACUUGCCCAUGGCCUACCUGAACAUCGAGGGUGCUCUCUCUGUCUCUGAGCUUUCUGAUUGCCUUUCUGUCAGCAGAAUUAUAAGAUGUGUUCAGACAGCAAGGCUCAAUUAACCCAGAAAGAAAGUGCAACCACGGACUAAGGUUCCUGAGGAAACUGAAAAAUUCAAGAACAUUCCAAUGCCUGAACCAUCUCCUGGCUUAGUUUAAAAGAAAGUUCAGUAAAAUUCAGUGCUAGAACCUGUUUGAAUGCAGAGCUCAGCCCUAGAAUAUGUGGGGGAAAGACUACCUCAAAGCAUGUGCUGAGUGCCUUUUCUUCAGCACUAGUUUUAGCCUACUAUCAAACAGCUAGAUCCCAGGAUUAGAGGACAGAGCUUUCAGUUUGGGCAUAUCUUUUUAAAGGAAUUAACCCCUCAGUCAUAGAUUCUAUAUCCAUACAUUAAUAUCUUCCAAUAAAAUAAAAUAACUUGGAUGGCUUAAUCUCCCUUUUGAAAAGAUUCAUCUCUAGGAUAAGACAGUGUUUAUCCAUGUGGAUAGUAUUUGUUCAUUUCUAUCAAUUUUGCCUGGCACAGAAUUCAGAUUUACUUACUUCUAGGAUGUGGAAUGUGUUUUGUUUUGUUUAAAUUGCUGCUGCAUUAGCUACUUCUUAUGUAACAUCGAGUCAUUUUUUGGCAAAAAACAACUUGUGUAGCUUAAUCUACCAAUGUACUCUAAACUAAAACCCCAUUUUAUGGGCAAUUCAAACCCAUUUUAUGGGCAAUUU
Rhineura floridana is the source of this 924-nucleotide long non-coding RNA. RefSeq lists it as uncharacterized. The record is from RefSeq and is a predicted model, not a curated record. The transcript is spliced from 3 exons. NCBI's taxonomy places the organism in Eukaryota, Metazoa, Chordata, Lepidosauria, Squamata, Rhineuridae.